GGGGAAUAUUGGGCAAUGGGGGAAACCCUGACCCAGCGACGCCGCGUGAGGGAAGAAGGUUUUCGGAUCGUACACCUCUGUUGUACGGGAAGAAGGAAGUGACGGUACCGUACGAGGAAGCCCCGGCAAACUACGUGCCAGCAGCCGCGGUAAUACGUAGGGGGCGAGCGUUGUCCGGAUUUACUGGGCGUAAAGGGUCCGUAGGGGGUCUGCCAAGUCGGCUGUGAAAUGCCGCGGCUCAACCGCGGCACUGCACUCGAUACUGGCGGGCUUGAGUCCGCGAGGGGUGAACGGAAUUCCUGGUGUAGCGGUGGAAUGCGUAGAUAUCAGGAAGAACGCCGAUGGCGAAAGCGGUUCACUGGCGCGGCACUGACCCUGAGGGACGAAAGCGUGGGUAGCAAACA
This 404-nucleotide ribosomal RNA is filed under the name uncultured bacterium. Its description in RNAcentral is "bacterial SSU rRNA". It matches the Rfam family "Bacterial small subunit ribosomal RNA", at positions 356 to 774 of the family's 1533-position model. The record is from RNAcentral.